GCCCGUGGCCAUACCACCCUGAAUGUGUCCUCUCUCAUCUGAUUUCCAAGGCUAAGCAGGGCUGGGCUUGGCUGUACUUGGAGGUGAGAAGUAGCAAAGAAGAAAGUUAACCCUGUAGACA
RNAcentral lists this ribosomal RNA (121 nucleotides) under Jaculus jaculus (lesser Egyptian jerboa). The record is from RNAcentral. Lineage: Eukaryota; Metazoa; Chordata; Mammalia; Rodentia; Dipodidae.